Molecule: ribosomal RNA, 239 nt
Filed under: bacterium enrichment culture clone ALO1_GLFRUDD03G53JI
Lineage: Bacteria
Description: partial 16S ribosomal RNA
Rfam family: Bacterial small subunit ribosomal RNA
Source: RNAcentral
GAGUUUGAUCGUGGCUCAGAUUGAACGCUGGCGGCAUGCCUUACACAUGCAAGUCGAACGGCAGCACGGGAGCUUGCUCCUGGUGGCGAGUGGCGAACGGGUGAGUAAUGCAUCGGAACGUAUCCUGGAGUGGGGGAUAACGUAGCGAAAGUUACGCUAAUACCGCAUAUUCUGUGAGCAGGAAAGCGGGGACUUCGGGCCUCGCGCUCUUGGAGCGGCCGAUGUCGGAUUAGCUAGUU